RNAcentral lists this ribosomal RNA (459 nucleotides) under uncultured bacterium. Its description in RNAcentral is "partial 16S ribosomal RNA". It matches the Rfam family "Bacterial small subunit ribosomal RNA", at positions 338 to 795 of the family's 1533-position model. The record is from RNAcentral.
GCUACGGGAGGCAGCAGUGAGGAAUAUUGGUCAAUGGCCGGGAGGCUGAACCAGCCAAGUCGCGUGAGGGAAGACGGCCCUACGGGUUGUAAACCUCUUUUGUCAGGGAGCAAGGUGCAGGUCGGGACCUGCUGUGAGAGUACCUGAAGAAAAAGCAUCGGCUAACUCCGUGCCAGCAGCCGCGGUAAUAAGGAGGAAGCGAGUGUUAUCCGGAUUUAUUGGGUUUAAAGGGUGCGCAGGCGGCGGGACAAGUCAGCGGUAAAAUCGCGGGGCUCAACCCCGCUCCGACGUUGAGACUGGGGUCCUUGAGUGCGCGAAGGGUAGGCGGAAUUCGUGGUGUAGCGGUGAAAUGCAUAGAUAUCACGAAGAACCCCGAUUGCGAAGGCAGCUUACUAAACUGUGACUGACAUUGAUGCUCGAAAGUGUGGGUAUCAAACAGGAUUAGAUACCCGAGUAGUC